GACGAACGCUGGCGGCGUGCUUAACACAUGCAAGUCGAACGGAAAGGCCCUGCUUUUGUGGGGUGCUCGAGUGGCGAACGGGUGAGUAACACGUGAGUAAACUGCCCUUGACUUUGGGAUAACUUCAGGAAACUGGGGCUAAUACCGGAUAGGAGCUCCUGCUGCAUGGUGGGGGUUGGAAAGUUUCGGCGGAUGGGGAUGGACUCGCGGCUUAUCAGCUUGUUGGUGGGGUAGGGGCUUACCAAGGCUUUGACGGUUAGCCGGCCUGGGAGGGUGACCGGCCACAAUGGGACUGAGGUACGGCCCAGACGCCUACGGGAGGCAGCAGUGGGGAAUAUUGCACAAUGGGCGGAAGCCUGAUGCAGCAACGCCGCGUGCGGGAUGAUGGCCUUCGGGUUGUAAACCGCUUUCGCCUGUGACGAAGCGUGAGUGACGGUAAUGGGUAAAGAAGCACCGGCUAACUACGUG
Molecule: ribosomal RNA, 468 nt
Filed under: uncultured bacterium
Lineage: Bacteria
Description: partial 16S ribosomal RNA
Rfam family: Bacterial small subunit ribosomal RNA
Source: RNAcentral